Molecule: ribosomal RNA, 434 nt
Filed under: uncultured bacterium
Lineage: Bacteria
Description: bacterial SSU rRNA
Rfam family: Bacterial small subunit ribosomal RNA
Source: RNAcentral
GAACGCGAAGAACCUUACCUGGCCUUGACAUAGUAGAAACUUUCCAGAGAUGGAUUGGUGCCUUCGGGAAUCUACAUACAGGUGCUGCAUGGCUGUCGUCAGCUCGUGUCGUGAGAUGUUGGGUUAAGUCCCGCAACGAGCGCAACCCUUUUCCUUACUUGCCAGCAUUUCGGAUGGGAACUUUAAGGAUACUGCCAGUGACAAACUGGAGGAAGGCGGGGACGACGUCAAGUCAUCAUGGCUCUUACGGCCAGGGCUACACACGUGCUACAAUGGUCGGUACAAAGGGUUGCUACACAGCGAUGUGAUGCUAAUCUCAAAAAGCCGAUCGUAGUCCGGAUCGCAGUCUGCAACUCGACUGCGUGAAGUCGGAAUCGCUAGUAAUCGCGGAUCAGAAUGCCGCGGUGAGUACGUUCCCGGGUCUUGUACACACC